Molecule: unclassified non-coding RNA, 400 nt
Filed under: uncultured fungus
Lineage: Eukaryota; Fungi
Description: sequence contains ITS1
Rfam family: 5.8S ribosomal RNA (bases 1-105)
Source: RNAcentral
AAAAGGCGAAACGUCAUGUGACCUGCAUGCUUUGCGAAUCAUCCAAUCUUUGAACGCAUCUUGCACCUGAUGCCUCGCGCAUCAGGUAUACUUGUUUGAGUAUGACAUACAUAUGAUCACAGAGGGAGACGGGUUCGAUGGGCACCGAACCUGAGACGCUCUGCUCUGUGGACUUGGCACUGUCGGUAUGUGUGUUUGUGUGGGUAGUGGCAUGGGUACGCUACAACGAUCCCCAACCGACCGACCGACUUUGCUUAAAUGUAGGCCUCAGCUGCCGAUGGGUUGAACCUGUCAGAGGCGGCGACGGUGGAAAAGUGUGUGUGUGUGUGCAUGCGCGUACAUGAGUACGUACGUACGUGUACUACAACAACAACAUCAUCAUCUCAAAUCAAGUAAGAGG